GUCGAACGGUAGAGGGGGCAACCCCUCGAGAGUGGCGAACGGGUGAGUAAUAUAUCGGAACGUGCCCAGUCGUGGGGGAUAACGUAGCGAAAGUUACGCUAAUACCGCAUACGAUCUAAGGAUGAAAGCGGGGGAUCGCAAGACCUCGCGCGAUUGGAGCGGCCGAUAUCAGAUUAGGUAGUUGGUGGGGUAAAGGCUCACCAAGCCAACGAUCUGUAGCUGGUCUGAGAGGACGACCAGCCACACUGGAACUGAGACACGGUCCAGACUCCUACGGGAGGCAGCAGUGGGGAAUUUUGGACAAUGGACGCAAGUCUGAUCCAGCCAUUCCGCGUGCAGGAUGAAGGCCCUCGGGUUGUAAACUGCUUUUGUACGGAACGAAAAGGUUUCUAUUAAUACUAGGAGCUCAUGACGGUACCGUAAGAAUAAGCACCGGCUAACUACGUGCCAGCAGCCGCGGUAAUACGUAGGGUGCAAGCGUUAAUCGGAAUUACUGGGCGUAAAGCGUGCGCAGGCGGUUAUGUAAGACAGAGGUGAAAUCCCCGGGCUCAACCUGGGAACUGCCUUUGUGACUGCAUAGCUAGAGUACGGUAGAGGGGGAUGGAAUUCCGCGUGUAGCAGUGAAAUGCGUAGAUAUGCGGAGGAACACCGAUGGCGAAGGCAGCCCCCUGGGAUAAUACUGACGCUCAUGCACGAAAGCGUGGGGAGCAAACAGGAUUAGAUACCCUGGUAGUCCACGCCCUAAACGAU
RNAcentral lists this ribosomal RNA (750 nucleotides) under uncultured bacterium. RNAcentral describes it as "bacterial SSU rRNA". It matches the Rfam family "Bacterial small subunit ribosomal RNA", at positions 61 to 810 of the family's 1533-position model. The record is from RNAcentral.